AUUUUUUACGCGACAUUUGUGUUGAUCUAUUCGGUUAUUAUCACGGGCGAUUGUUGAAAACGACAAUAAUAAGAGCACAAAUUUACGAGCACCUGCAUUUUCACCUAUCUACUCCGUUUUGGAGAGCACGUGCCGCAGUUGCCCUCAACGUAACAUGUAUACACGACCACGAAACCACAUCUGUUUUAAAAUCCAGGAGGUAAAUUCCUAAAAGGACGUUAUA
Molecule: non-coding RNA, 223 nt
Organism: Cinara cedri
Lineage: Eukaryota; Metazoa; Arthropoda; Insecta; Hemiptera; Aphididae
Source: the annotation of a GenBank genome assembly